UACAGAGGUCUCAAGCGUUGUUCGGAUUCAUUGGGCGUAAAGGGUGCGUAGGUGGCGCUGUAAGUCGGGUGUGAAAUUUCGGAGCUUAACUCCGAAACUGCAUUCGAUACUGCGGUGCUUGAGGACUGGAGAGGAGACUGGAAUUCAUGGUGUAGCAGUGAAAUGCGUAGAUAUCGUAAGGAAGACCAGUGGCGAAGGCGGGUCUCUGGACAGUUCCUGACGCUGAGGCACGAAGGUCAGGGGAGCAAACGGG
Molecule: ribosomal RNA, 253 nt
Filed under: uncultured bacterium
Lineage: Bacteria
Description: partial 16S ribosomal RNA
Rfam family: Bacterial small subunit ribosomal RNA
Source: RNAcentral